ACGCACGCUGGCGGCGUGCCUAAUACAUGCAAGUUGAGCGCUGAAGGUUGGUACUUGUACCAACUGGAUGAGCAGCGAACGGGUGAGUAACGCGUGGGGAAUCUGCCUUUGAGCGGGGGACAACAUUUGGAAACGAAUGCUAAUACCGCAUAAAAACUUUAAACACAAGUUUUAAGUUUGAAAGAUGCAAUUGCAUCACUCAAAGAUGAUCCCGCGUUGUAUUAGCUAGUUGGUGAGGUAAAGGCUCACCAAGGCGAUGAUACAUAGCCGACCUGAGAGGGUGAUCGGCCACAUUGGGACUGAGACACGGCCCAAACUCCUACGGGAGGCAGCAGUAGGGAAUCUUCGGCAAUGGACGAAAGGCUGAACGAGCAACGCCGCGUGAGUGAAGAAGGUUUUCGGAUCGUAAAACUCUGUUGGUAGAGAAGAACGUUGGUGAGAGUGGAAAGCUCAUCAAGUGACGGUAACUACCCAGAAAGGGACGGCUAACUACGUG
This 496-nucleotide ribosomal RNA is filed under the name uncultured bacterium. Its description in RNAcentral is "partial 16S ribosomal RNA". It matches the Rfam family "Bacterial small subunit ribosomal RNA", at positions 29 to 507 of the family's 1533-position model. The record is from RNAcentral.